AUUGAACGCUGGCGGAAUGCUUUACACAUGCAAGUCGAACGGCAGCACGGACUUCGGUCUGGUGGCGAGUGGCGAACGGGUGAGUAAUGUAUCGGAACGUGCCCAGUCGUGGGGGAUAACGUAGUGAAAAUUACGCUAAUACCGCAUACGAUCUAUGGAUGAAAGCGGGGGAUCGCAAGACCUCGCGCGAUUGGAGCGGCCGAUAUCAGAUUAGGUAGUUGGUGGGGUAAAGGCCCACCAAGCCAACGAUCUGUAGCUGGUCUGAGAGGGCGACCAGCCACACUGGAACUAAGACACGGUCCAGACUCCUACGGGAGGCAGCAGUGGGGAAUUUUGGGCAAUGGGCGAAAGCCUGAUCCAGCCAUUCCGCGUGCAGGAUGAAGGCCCUCGGGUUGUAAACUGCUUUUGUACAGAACGAAAAGGUUUCUACUAAUACUAGGAGCUCAUGACGGUACUGUAAGAAUAAGCACCGGCUAACUACGUGCCAGCCGCCGCCGUAA
RNAcentral lists this ribosomal RNA (500 nucleotides) under uncultured bacterium. RNAcentral describes it as "partial 16S ribosomal RNA". It matches the Rfam family "Bacterial small subunit ribosomal RNA", at positions 30 to 523 of the family's 1533-position model. The record is from RNAcentral.